CACACAACAUCAUGGCGGUGUACAUGCUGAACACAAACACAGCACACUUUUACCUACGAAGAUAAGCAAUCGGGAUAAUGACAAGCGAUUCAUUUUGCGUUUAAAUAGUCAAGUCAUCUAUGGUAAAGUCAAAUGAGGAACAAGAAAACUGACGACGAAAUAUGCCAAAUCCAAGAAAGCAUGACCAUAACACUGGCUCAAAUGACAUAAGUGAAAUCUGGAGUCAUGUUUCCACAUUUUCUCAAAAAAGGUUGAGAACAAACAAAUCGGGUAAAAGCCCGAAACUGACACCCAAAUCUUCACCUUCUGUCAGGAAGUCACCACAUACUCGUUCUAAAGAUCUGGAGACGCCCAAACGACGAGCGAGGGGCAGAUACACGGGCUUAAACAACAUUGCUGAUUCACCCGGGGAUGGAGAUAUUUUACAAGACAUCAUAUGGGACCCGGCAUCACCUACUCCUGCUAGAAGUGGGGAAUGGCCCAGCGACACCAGAGUUGUUGAGAUAUCAGACAUUGUCAAUCGGAUCGCCCCUAAGGAUGCCCAGCAUGUCUCUGUGGAUAGUCCUCUGCUCCAGUGGAUUGGGGACAGUGCUGUCCCCUGUACCCCAGAGGUACGCCCGCCCAAUGCAAGGAAGAAAUCCACUCGGAAAAGCUCAGUGGAGGACUUGAUGCAGCUGGCCAGGCAGUUUGACAUCAGCAUGCACCAGCAGGACAGAGAGAGGAAGAGUUCUGAACACAGGAACAAUAACAUAAACAACAACAGGUACGAGGAGGAACCCAAGGGCUCGACGACAAUGUCGUCAUCAGCCCAGCAGGUAGAGGCGGAGCUUAACGCUCUGUUCGACGGGCCGACGCAGCGAGUCACCGGACGGCUCAGCCAAGGGUCGACCGCCUCCACCUGUUCUCAGGAGGUCAAGGUUCAAGUUGGGGUCAGCCAUCUCACUACCGAUGACCUCGUCAAAGUGUCGGAGGUCAAGCCUGGCGGGGGAAGCACGUCUGGUUCAUCGGCUCGUACUGGUAAAGAGGAUGUGGGACAGUGGAAUGCCACGACAACUGUGGCGAAAGACGAGGACUUUGACUGGGAGGAUGACGACCUUCUCAAUGACCCUAUCGUGUUGGAGAUGACCCAGAAUCCUGAGGGGCUGAAAACGCUGUCCCCCAAACCCAGCAGCUCACUGACUCUGAGCACUGACAGAGACAACACACAGCUGCUAACAGAUACAGAAAAGACCCUACCACCCUCCUCUACUACCUCUAAUCCUAUCAGCCUGCCCUCUCACUCUGUCUGGAAGGGGACAAGCACACACCUUCAACCCUCAAACAGAGGUGGCCUCACUGGGCCGUGUCCUAAACCCAAGCCCGCCAGCAGAAACACUUUCCUGCUGGAGCCCAAACUUUGUUUCCAGGUGAAUAUGGCUCCGACAACCAGAGAAGCACCCAGACCGUUCCUCACUGUUGGAGAGGCCCAGCCUGAGAGGCCCGGUGUGUCUGCAGCCCUGGGGAGUAGGGGCCCCAGUAGAGAUUCUGCAGAAGGGGUGAGCACAGCCACAACUCCAACCUCCCGUGGAACCACAGCCCCAGACUCCGCUUUCAAAGACAUCUCAGAGGAGGACCUCCAGUCCCUGUUUGACUCUGAGUCGCUGUGGAACGACGACGAAGGUGACGAUGACGAACUGCUGUAUCAGGUGUGUGACGACGUGGAGAGGAUCUCCAACAGUCAGUCCGAUGGUGCCACCGCAACCACGGAUGCCACUGAGGUCCGCGUCCAAGAGAGCAAACCGAAAGCCACUCCAACCGCCCCUCUGGCUGCAGCGAGAGAGGGGUCUAUGACUAUGGAUAGGGCUGUAGGUGGUCCUAGCAGUAAACAGUCAACCACCUGCACGUCUGGCCGCUCCAACUCGGCACCAGGAGAUAGGAGUAGCACCCCUGUGCACUUUCAGAGAUGGAACAUUCCAGCGAAAGCAGGUAAUGUUUGGGUCGGACAUCAUACAGUCAUGUCCCAGAGCCAUCCAGGCAGCGGGGAGGGUCUGGACAAGUUUACCCAGCUGAGGGGUGCUCCAGCCCGGGGAACAUUUGGCCUAGGAUCCCUUGGAGUUAGAACCUUCCAAGCGGGGGACUCAAAGUCGGUCAUGCCACGGACAGUGUCGGCGAGUGCCCUCCCAAAGUUGAAUUCCCAUCAUGCAUCAUCGUUCAAGAGACAUCUGUCGGACUCGGCCGCCAUCGGCAACAAAGUGUUCGUCAGCAGUCCGGUGACGGGGCGAUGCACGGAGGAGGAGAUUGAGAGGAAGAAGCAGGAGGCCAUAGCCAGAAGAAGGACCAGGGAAACCUCCCUAAAAGCAGGGGGACUUCCUCUGUGACGAAGCAACUGGACACUAGAUUAAUACACAGUUAACCAGAAUACCUAUAGAGUAGCUCUCCUCUGCUAGUUGAUAUUUUUCCAGAUCCUUCCAUCAGCAGCACCAUACCAUCAGUGUUCUUCCAGAUCCUUCCAUCAGCAGCACCAUACCAUCAGUGUUCUUCCAGAUCCUUCCAUCAGCAGCACCAUACCAUCAGUGUUCUUCCAGAUCCUUCCAUCAGCAGCACCAUACCAUCAGUGUUCUUCCAGAACCUUCCAUCAGCAGCACCAUACCAUCAGCAGCACCAUACCAUCAGUGUUCUUCCAGAUCCUUCCAUCGGCAGCACCAUACCAUCAGUGUUCAGUAUUAAGGGUGCUGAGAAGAACCUAUAGAUGUAACCAUGUUUUUAGAAGCCGUGAUUGCUCUAUAGGCCGACCUCCGCCAACAAAUACCCUGUAGCCACAUUCCGCCAGCCUAUAUCUGACAACACCUUUUUGCUACAAUGGCUUUGGACUCCCUCCCCCGUCCCCAUAAUAGGUGGCUUGGGCUGUAAUGGUGUGUUGACACACACACACACACGGACACACACCCGAGCUGCUGUAAUAGUCUGCUGACAGGUUUAGGCUGAGGUAAUUGUGUUGCCGGGCUUUGCAGUGAGGUGCCAAAUCUCCCCCCGAGGAGAAUGAGGUGAGGCGUGGAGCUAGCGUAGGCUGUUAGCGUUUGAUCUGCUACUUUAUUGGCCAAUUGUUGUUAUAGAAACCAUGAAAGGAAGAUCCGCAAAUAACUUUUACAUCAGCACAUUGUCAUAACAGACACUCAACAGACUUCAAGGCAGCGUUUGUUGAGAUGAAUGUGGGUUUGUUGUUGCUCUGUUGUGUGGCUAGGAGGUAGCAGUAGAUGCUAGCUAGCUAGCCAAGACUACUUGUGUGCUCCUGAGUAAAAAUGUAUCCUGCUGUGCAGAGCCUCAGUUCAUUAUGUGUGGCAGGACUGCAUUAAGAGAACGGCUCUGAGUGGAUCUCCAGCUGUUCAGGUCUGCCAUUGAGUUUUUCCAUGAGACUAUCUCUGUCACUAUCUCUGUCACUCUCAAUUCAAUUUCAAUUCAAUGGCAUUCAGUUAUUGGCAUGAGAAACAUAUGUUUACAUUGCCAAAGCAAGUGAAAUAAAUAGACAAAAGUGAGAAGAAUCAAAUAGCAACAUUAAAAAAAAAACAUAUUUACACAUCAGACAAAAGAUAAAACUUUUUUUUUUUUUAAAUCGAACUAAAACAGUACAUCAUAUAACAAGAGUGUAUGACUGUAGCCCGACAGGUCCAGAUGCUACAGCUCGGUGGUACUGACCUCAGACGAGUCCCGGUGUGGCUUGUGGAGGUCGGAGAGCACCGUCGUGUUCAGGACAGCCUCGUAUUUCCAUAGAGUUUAGGCUUUUAUUCUGAAGGGUUAAAAUACACUACAUGGACGUUUUCAAUGGAACGCACAGAUAUUUACAUUGUAGCAGAUGCUCUUACAGGACCAUAACAUUGUGCAUACUGGUCCCUCUUGGGAAUUGAACCCACAACCCUAGUGUUGAAGUGCCAUGCUCUAUCAACUGAGUCACAAGGGACACACAAAUAAACCUGUCAGCUGACUUGGGGUAUGGAUGUCCCAAACUCCCCGUGACCUUUAUAAGGUCACGCCUGUCUCUAUGGUGAUAGUGGUAGCCAAUGAUGGGCUGCUGUGGUACUUUCAUCUCAUCUGUCUCACAUUAAGUCCAUGCAGCAAGGAGGAGUUCUCUCUCUUUCUCUCUCUGUCACACAAACAACACCACAUGUUCAUAGAUCUUCAUACACAGGCUGACACAGAGGACACUAGAACACAUGGAUGUACACAAUAAACACACACACACACACACACAUGCUCAUGAAUGCCAAGUGCAGAGUUGGCAUUCAUGAGUAAAGAAGAGACAGAGAGAAAAUGUUUGAACUACAGUUAUCUCCUUACAGGCAAAUUGUCAGUCCCCAGUCAAAUUACCCGAGCUGUUUCCAAAUGCAAAUAGGGUUUAUCAAAUAAACAAAGAAACUAAAGAUGCAUAUGAAGAGAUCUGGGGUUUUCGUGUAGCAGCUGUUGGUGGAAAAACGAAACAUUUCCAUCAACGUUUCUUUUCCGUUUUCCCACAACAGAGCAAGACACAGAUUAGUAUGUUUGAAGAUUCUGUUUUGAAAGUUGUAGUUUUUUAUACAUGGAACUAGCAGCACCCUCCUCGGAACUAGCAGCACCCUCCUCGGAACUAGCAGCACCCUCCUCGGAACUAGCAGCACCCUCCUCGGGCAGCGGGAUGCAUCCAAAUAGAGCAUAUCUCUGAAUGGAGCCCUUUUUCUCUUGGUUACCACAGGCCCUGUGUUGUGGAUUGAAUGUGGUUGGAAACUGUGAGAACCGGAAUGGAGGAUCCAUCCAUGUAUAACUAAAGCACUGUUCUUCUCUGUAAUGGAGGUUGUAAAUGUCCUGGUCUACAAGUGACAGCUUUUCACCACUAACUCUCAGUAGCCUGGGAAAAAACACACUGAAGGGAUGUAUUUUACUGAUAUAGAACUGUGUUCUGUCUACUGCGAUACCUCUGCUUCAUGUAAAAGUCUCUGAUCCCUGAUCAACUAGAU
Salvelinus fontinalis (brook trout) is the source of this 4964-nucleotide RNA transcript. It is a transcript of the gene named ETAA1 activator of ATR kinase b, with no coding region annotated. NCBI's taxonomy places the organism in Eukaryota, Metazoa, Chordata, Actinopteri, Salmoniformes, Salmonidae. The transcript has 7 exons. The record is from RefSeq and is a predicted model, not a curated record.